RNAcentral lists this ribosomal RNA (244 nucleotides) under Bifidobacterium animalis subsp. animalis IM386. Its description in RNAcentral is "partial 16S ribosomal RNA". It matches the Rfam family "Bacterial small subunit ribosomal RNA", at positions 1327 to 1533 of the family's 1533-position model. Lineage: Bacteria; Bacillati; Actinomycetota; Actinomycetes; Bifidobacteriales; Bifidobacteriaceae. The record is from RNAcentral.
CGGAGUCGCUAGUAACUCGCGAUCAGCAACGCCGCGUGAAUGCGUUCCCGGGCUUGUACACAUCCCCGCCGCCCGUCCAAGUCAUGAACAGUGGGGUAGCACCCGAAGCCGGUGGCCCGACCCUCCCGUGGGGGAGGCCCCGUUCUAAGGUGAGUAACUCGUGAUUGUGGGACUAAGUCGUAACAAAGGUAGCGCGUACCGGAAGGUGGCGGCUGGAAUCAGGCCUUUUCCUUUCUAGCGGAGA